AUGCAGGAUCAGAAUGUGUUCUCAAUGAGAUUGGAUCUUGGGGAUGGUCGUUUUAUGGAUGUAAACGCACGAGAAGUACGUAGAAUUCUUGGUCUAGUUGGAGGUGGUGGUCGGACUCGUGUUUUGCGUAGGAUGUGUUUGCGUAAUAGGCUAGAGGUGCUUGAGAGAGUGCACGAACUGCUUGGGAAUGAUUAUGCAAAGUGUGCAUCGAUUUCUAUUUUGCGUUUGAAGAAGAUUCUUCAAAAUGCAAGAAGAGAAGAACUCACUCCGGCAGUUAGGAGGAAAAUUAAAGUCGCACAUACCAUGCUAGCAUUCUCAACAUUUCUAGCUCCACAAGAUCCAUAUGCAAAGGUAGCGGACGAGAUUCUGUACAUGGUACAGUAUCCGGAUGAAAUAGACAAGUACAAUGUCACCGAGUACAUCAUAGAGAGUCUCAGGCAUGGGACUAGACAUGCGCGCCGCAGCCUCGAGCGUGGGCACGCAAGAAUCGUCAUAGAAGGAUGCAUGCUAAUUCCACAGAUACUGUUUUGCGAGUCUUGCGAAUACUUGCCAAGCGAUAUCGCCACCCUAGCAGAACCGCAGAUCGCUGCCUACGGCCAGUCCAGACUAAAAAGAAUCAUCAGGCGUUAUGCACCACCUGAGAUUUACUGUGGGCUUCGGGUGAGGGGGCAAGAACAUUCGGAUAGCAGCAUGGGCGCUGGUGGUGGGGAUGGAACGGUACCAGCUGAGAUGCAUAGCUCUGAUGCUGAACAUGACAGCGACGCUGCAAGUACUGGAGGGGGGGGGGGUGGGUGGACCACCAGCUCUGGAUAUGGAUGCUUUCAAAAAUAUGAUCAAUGGUAUAGCUGA
This 849-nucleotide ribosomal RNA is filed under the name Triticum aestivum (bread wheat). RNAcentral describes it as "partial small subunit ribosomal RNA". The record is from RNAcentral. Lineage: Eukaryota; Viridiplantae; Streptophyta; Magnoliopsida; Poales; Poaceae.